This 253-nucleotide ribosomal RNA is filed under the name uncultured bacterium. RNAcentral describes it as "partial 16S ribosomal RNA". It matches the Rfam family "Bacterial small subunit ribosomal RNA", at positions 524 to 776 of the family's 1533-position model. The record is from RNAcentral.
UACGGAGGGGGCUAGCGUUGUUCGGAAUUACUGGGCGUAAAGCGCGCGUAGGCGGACCUGCAAGUCGGGGGUGAAAGCCCGAGGCUCAACCUCGGAACUGCCUUCGAUACUGCGGGUCUCGAGUCCGGGAGAGGUGAGUGGAAUUCCUAGUGUAGAGGUGAAAUUCGUAGAUAUUAGGAAGAACACCAGUGGCGAAGGCGGCAUCCUGGACCGGUAUUGACGCUGAGGAGCGAAAGCCAGGGGAGCAAACGGG